RNAcentral lists this non-coding RNA (26 nucleotides) under Homo sapiens (human). Lineage: Eukaryota; Metazoa; Chordata; Mammalia; Primates; Hominidae. The record is from RNAcentral.
CCAAGGUGGCCACUUUCAGGAGGUAC